UCCUUUCCUGCCAGCCCCUUAUCUCUGAACUUUUCUUUCUUUGGUUCAGACAACAUUGGUUUGUGGAUGAAGGAGGAUUGACUGCAGUUCAUUUGCAUCAGGCGCCUGACCUGGCUGGGGGAGCAGUGUUGUUAACAUGGUCGAUGCUGCUCCGUGGCCGCUACUAGCACAAAGUUUGCAUACAGCUUUGUUUACCUACAAAAAGAGCUAGCGAGAGGAAGUGGCAAAGAUCUUGAGCCCUUCCUGUUUACCGCUUGCCCCACCUCCCAGAAUCACAGCUAGCUCGGCACUAUUUUAAAUACAAAAACAGAAACACUUUUAAUGAUCACUUAUGAAAAAUAUUACAUUUUGAAAUUGUACAGAAAAAUAAUCUUUCAGUGCCUCCCCAUCGCACCCAACAGAAGGGUCUGAUGGACAUCUAGAAACAGCCAGCAUGAGAUGGAUCAGAGGGGUACAGCCCAGGCUGGAAGAGUGGUUAGUAUCUACAGGAAUAAAUUAUGUGUUAUCAAAAAAAUAAAGUGAAUACACAAGAUUUAAGGAGUCCAUUAAAUAAACCAAAGUAAUAAUUGCACAGUAUGAAUUCAAAUGCUGAAGGCGUCCUUAGAAAUCAGUCAUUAGGAUAUUAGGCUAUAAGGUUAUUUCUAGAGUGUUACACGCAGGUUAGUAGCACAUGCUCACAACCAUCUCCUGGAGGGAAGCCGCGGAGGCCCUGUUCUCCGUGGCAGGGCAGGGCCUCGGGUGCAGGAGCCUGGGGGAUCUUUACAAAGUGCAGCUCCAUGGAGAGUCCCAGUGGAGGAGAACAGAUCCCAGGGGAGACUCUGACCUGUCUCCCAACACUUGGAACAGGUGGCUGGAGCACUCAGAGAGCAGGCGAUGGGGUGGGGUGGGGCGGGGUCCCUUGGCCUAGGCAGAACAGGGUCUACGAGUGUCAGUCUGGGCAAGCAGAGCCCGACACCUACUAGCCACAGGACUGCAGCUACAAGCCGGGGCAGACCCAGAAUGAGGGCAGGUCUUCACAGCGAGACCCGGGGGCGAAGCCCCUGAAUCCGUACAGCCCUCCCAGCCAAGGCCCUGCGCCUCCACCGGCUGGUGACAGGGAAGGGGCACUCUCCCCCCGACUUCAUAGCGCAAGGGGACUCUCCACUAUGUCACCUCUCCCCCAGCAAGUCGCUUCAGCCCCUGGGCUGCUGCUCCAAGCAAGCCACAGGCCGACCGCCAUCUUGUGGAUGGCAUUUGCCAGCCGUGGGUAAACUCCCUCCAAGCACCAACAAAGUGGCACCAUGUGGGGUCGCAUGCGGGAGGCCCCCUCCCAGCCACA
RNAcentral lists this long non-coding RNA (1318 nucleotides) under Chrysemys picta bellii (western painted turtle). RNAcentral's name for it is "lncRNA (ENSCPBG00000011386.1)". The record is from RNAcentral. Lineage: Eukaryota; Metazoa; Chordata; Testudines; Emydidae.